Molecule: long non-coding RNA, 774 nt
Organism: Salvia miltiorrhiza (redroot sage)
Lineage: Eukaryota; Viridiplantae; Streptophyta; Magnoliopsida; Lamiales; Lamiaceae
Exons: 2
Source: RefSeq, a predicted model, not a curated record
CUUUCUUUCACACGUUUAUGUUCAAACAAGUAAUUCAAUCUAUUUAAACCUCAUUGUAUCAUUCUCAUUCCAUCAGCUUCAAAUCAUAAACCAUCAACAGAUUUCUCCAUUUGCUCUUUUCACAAAAUAACUCAAAUCUGCCAUUUCUCACUGCACAUCAUCAAUCGGUGCGGCGCGAUUAGGACGUGAACUUUAAAUUAUCACAGUUAACUUUCAAAGCUCAAAAGUUCAAGUUUCAGGUGUGGGAUUUAUUUCAGUACAUGCACGUGGUUAAUAUUUGUCCAUUUUAAUAUUAUGUGUUUACCGUAUGUGUUGUAAAAAUAUUUAUCGCUAGGGGCCAGCAUAAUUGGUCCAGGACUUCACCGUCCUUGGUAUGCCACAAAGCGAUUUCAUGUUACAGGGUUGCAACCAUUAUAUUGUCGCCAGGGGCCCACAUAUAGGGUCCGGGACAUUAAAGUCCUUGGAAUGCCACAGUGCGUAUGGAAGUUAUGUUACGUUAUGACAAUAUGUGUUACCAUUUUAUUAACAUGGACAAUUAUUGCAUGUUCCCACACUGAGUGUACCCUGUAUGCUCAUCCCAUAUUCAACAGUUUCAGGUGAUUGAUAUCGGAGGCGCGUGGAGAGUCGAAUGGGCGCGUCGAAUCUAUUUAAAGAUAAAUGUUUCCUAAAACAUAUUAUGUUAUUUCAUGUGAUAUCUCUUGAUUAUGUAAACUCUGAAAUUCUAUACUAUUUGAGAUUUGUGUGUGAUUUGUUUAAAUAAAUGUUAUUAUACUA